This 1417-nucleotide long non-coding RNA is filed under the name Homo sapiens (human). Its description in RNAcentral is "non-protein coding PCBP1-AS1:265". The record is from RNAcentral. Lineage: Eukaryota; Metazoa; Chordata; Mammalia; Primates; Hominidae.
CUUUUUUGCCGGUUCUUCCCGCUGAGGAAGUGUCGCUCAAGACGCUGGCCUAUGAAGGAAGACAAACAUAAAGAUGAAGUGCUUAAUUCAAGGUCACACAAUGUCGGGGAUGGACCUCCAGAUUUCCUUACUGGAAAACAAGCUCAGGGCUCCCACUGAUUGUACAUUAUGGUGAGACGUGGUCUUGUAACACAGUGGUUAAGAAUGUGACUUUGGAGCCAGCCUGCUAGGGGCUGAAUUCUGACUCAGCCAUUUACUAACUGUGUGACCUUAGGCUGGAGUGCAAUGGCAUGAUCUCGGCUCAUCACAACCUCUGCUUCCUGGGUUCAAGCGAUUCUCCUGCCUCAGCCUCCCGAGUACCUGGGACUACAGGCACUCGCCACCAUGCCCGGCUGAUUUUUGUAUUUUUAAUAGAGAUGGUUUCACUAUGUUGGCCAGGCUGGUCUCGAACUCCUGACCUUGUGAUCUGCCCACCUCAGCCUCGAAAAGUGCUGGGAUUACAGGCGUGAGCCACUGCGCCCAGCCUUGUAUUUUUUUUCAGUUUGGGUAGCUGUCCCUAAUUCAUUUGUUAAAGGAGAAGCAAGAGCAAGAACCUUUAAUCUGUUCUCCUCUUCCCUAAUUUGAAAGUAGCUUGUUAUUUUGAAUAUCACUUUCUCUGAAAUAGCACAUCUCCAUCUCAGAGAAUGGAUUUAAUGUUUGGAUACAGCCAAAAGUCAUUUCAUUACCAAACCAUGGGGUGAAUAUACCAUGUAAAGCAGUUUGGGAUCAGAACUCACAGUCUGAAUUGUAAGUGAUGAGACUGCUGUCUCUCUGCUACAGCUUCUUGGCUGGCUCUGAAGGCUCUUUGAAGGCAGAUCCUAACAAGGGGACUGCUUUGAAGGGCCAUUGUUCAUUUGGAAUGAUAAAGUCUAUGUUGUUCAAAAAACAAAUGCUUGUAGCAGGUAUUUUUUCACUCCAGACUGAGAAUAUUGGUGGGAUAUUGAUAAGGGGUACUGAAUGGUAAUAAACAUGUGCUCUAGCUCUGUGCUAGUCAGCUUAUUUCAGAACUCUAGUUUGAUUCAGUUUCUUGCCUCUGACUCAAAAUGGAGGGAGAGUGAUUUUUACAUAAGAGAACACACCCACAUAUCCUUUUGGCAGCAGCUACCUGCCAGAGAUGUUGAAGAAGAGUAGCCAACCUUUACACAGCAGAUAUUGUGUGCCAGUCAUAGUCCUAAGUAUAAUACCUUACAUGUAUAAACUUCUUAUAAGGUUGGUGCUCUGUACCGAAUUGAAUAGUAUCCCCCAAAAUUCAUGUUGUCCCAGAACCUAUGAAAGUGAUCUUACUUGAGGGAGGGGGGAGGGGGGAGGGAUAGCAUUAGGAGAUAUACCUAAUGCUAAAUGACGAGUUAAUGGGUGUAGCACACCAGCAUGGCACAUG